CCUCGGCGGGCUGGUCGCUUGGCUGGUCCUGGUGACUCCCGCCUCGAUCCUGUGUGCCACGUCAUGCUGCGCAUGGCUCUACUUCCUGCAUCUGAGUGGACGCAAAGCCCAAUCACCUGCGGAGAUGAACGAAGUCUGCGUCACAGCUGCCACCAGGCUGAGCAAGAUGGGGCCCAUCAACACCAGCGACCUCUUGAUAGCUUACGGCCUGGUGGCCUACGUCGGUUUCACCACAAUCGGCGCAGUCUUGGGGUACAACGC
Long non-coding RNA from Rhipicephalus microplus (southern cattle tick), 261 nucleotides. Lineage: Eukaryota; Metazoa; Arthropoda; Arachnida; Ixodida; Ixodidae. The record is from RefSeq and is a predicted model, not a curated record.